UUGGUGUGCACUUUAGAAAUACUAAAAUGGCACAGAAUUCAUCAAGACCUGGAAUGUAAAAGUGAUGAAUCUGAUAAGUGAAGAUACUUAAGAAACCAUUGCAAUAUUCCAGGCAGGAGGUGAUGGAUAGUUACUUGUACCUAAUAGGUGGCACUGAAAGUGGAAAAGAAGAGAUGGACAUCAGAAAUAGUAUUGAGGUAAGAGGGACAAAUUCAGAGUGUGAUCGAGCGUGGAGUGUAGGGACGACAUGUAAGGAUCAUAGGUAACUUCAAGCUUCUGCGCUAGAUGGCAGAAUAGUUACGACAUUAAUAGAAACAAAUAUCAGGAGAAUGCGCUGGUUUUGAAAACAAAGUUCAGUUUUACACACAUUGAAUUUUGUGUAUUCCCUAUAGAGAUAUGGAGAAGGCAGCUGAGAACCAUGUAUCUGCUCAAUGGUGAUAUUAGAAGACAUGUGCAGUAGUUAUGAUUCCAUCCCAAGGCAACAAGUAAAGAAAGUGUUGGUCAAAAUAGAAUCUUCUGGAAUGACUACUCUUAGGAUGCUGCAAGAGAAGCAGGAAGAGUUGCGUAACCAUUCCCAAGAAGGGACUAAAAUUCCAGCACCUACGUUACCCCACAGUGUGUCCUGGAGAGUGAUUGUUGUGUGCUGAAGUGACAGAAGGUGCAUCAGCAUUGGCUACAUGUUUUUUAAUAAGUUAUAUAUCGUCCACACUCACCAACUGUAAAGCUGCAACACAGGGCAGAAGAACAGAAUGAUGGAGAGAGGAUGUUCACCACAGGGAAGAAACUAAGAUGCGGAAUUCUCUCAACUGAGUCCACUUGUAACCCACCCUCAGGACAGAAGGCAGAAAAUUUACAGAAGUGGAUGCAUGGGAAACUUGUUCAAAAAUGCACAGUUUUUAUAUGUGGGAUGCCUACCACAGCGUGGCUUGCCAAGCACUUCCAUGUCUGCACCCGGGAUCCGAACUGGCGAACCCCAGGCUGUCAAAGCAGAACGGGCGAACUUAACCGCUGCACCAUCAGGCCGUCCCAAGAUAGGGUUGGCUUUACUGACUUACUGACCAGUAGAAUGUGGCAAAAGUGAUGUUCUGGGGCUUCCGAGGAUGUCAUUAAAAGCCUUGCAGCUUCUAGCUGGGCUUCUUGGAAAACUUGCUCUUGGAGCCAUGAACCAUCACCUGAAAAGUCUAAGAACCGACAAGGCCAUGCUCUCAGAAGCCCAAGCUAGCCACACAGAGGCAACAUGAAGAGAGAGAUAGCUGACUGGCCCCGUCUGCUCUGGCCAUCCCAGUGCAGGCAGCAGGCCUUGAGUGAAGAAGCCAUCUUUAACAUUGCAGCCUCAGCAAAUGCAACGUGGAGAACUGAGAAACCCAGCAGACAGCCAGAAAUGAGGCUCCAGGCAUAGGGCCUCAGCAGAAUUGUGUCAACCAUCUUAACC
RNAcentral lists this long non-coding RNA (1432 nucleotides) under Equus caballus (horse). RNAcentral's name for it is "lncRNA (ENSECAG00000051735.1)". The record is from RNAcentral. Lineage: Eukaryota; Metazoa; Chordata; Mammalia; Perissodactyla; Equidae.